AAAUUGGGGUUAAAGUUUUGUAAAUAGACUAGUCCACGUAUGCCAACAGUAUGUAAUCAUCGAAUGUCGAUAGACAAUUGUAUACCAAAAUGGGCGCACUACGUUUGCGCGCAUUUGGGGAUUAAAAUGUUUUACGUUUGCGCGCAGCUUUUGAUUACAUUUGCGCGCAUUUAUCUUACAGGUAAACCCAGAUAAAAAACGGUAUAUGAUGAAAUAUGAAUAAUAUAAAAUUUCAUUAACUUUGAAAAGAUGUUUUAAUCAUAAUUUAUAUUGUUCAUAUUGUAUUCUAAGACAAAAUAUAAAGUGUGCAUGAUAAAUUCUGUUAUAACUUAAGGCAUACAUGUAACUUCAUUGCGAAUUUUUUCAGGGUGAUCAAGUACCCCGAAUAGUGAUCUCUUUAAAAUUCGUAAAUAAUCUA
RNAcentral lists this long non-coding RNA (418 nucleotides) under Mytilus galloprovincialis (Mediterranean mussel). The record is from RNAcentral. Lineage: Eukaryota; Metazoa; Mollusca; Bivalvia; Mytilida; Mytilidae.